RNAcentral lists this ribosomal RNA (492 nucleotides) under uncultured bacterium. Its description in RNAcentral is "bacterial SSU rRNA". It matches the Rfam family "Bacterial small subunit ribosomal RNA", at positions 28 to 507 of the family's 1533-position model. The record is from RNAcentral.
GAUGAACGCUAGCUACAGGCUUAACACAUGCAAGUCGAGGGGCAGCAUUUCAGUUUGCUUGCAAACUGGGAGAUGGCGACCGGCGCACGGGUGAGUAACACGUAUCCAACCUGCCGAUAACUCGGGGAUAGCCUUUCGAAAGGAGUUUAAUACCCGAUGAAUUCGUUUAGUCGCAUGGCUUGAUGAAGAAAGAUUUAUCAGUAAAGGAUGGGGAUGCGUCCCAUUAGCUUGUUGGCGGGGUAACGGCCCACCAAGGCGACGAUGGGUAGGGGUUCUGAGAGGAAGGCCCCCCACAUUGGAACUGAGACACGGUCCAAACUCCUACGGGAGGCAGCAGUGAGGAAUAUUGGUCAAUGGACGAGAGUCUGAACCAGCCAAGUAGCGUGAAGGAUGACUGCCCUAUGGGUUGUAAACUUCUUUUAUACGGGAAUAAAGUGAGGCACGUGUGCCUUUUUGUAUGUACCGUAUGAAUAAGGAUCGGCUAACUCCGUG